AUUGAGACGAAUAGCAUAAUGAAGCUUUCUGCCGUGAUUUUCUUGGCCGUUUUCGGGAUCCAAAGCAUUGGAGCACGAGUUAUCGAUGGGGACUACAAUCAAUUGGCACUCGCUGCAGGUUCCACCGGUAACACUGUGCAUGGUGAUUUAAGUCAAGUGGGAUUGUUUGCUUCGGCGUAUGAAAACGAUAUCGAUGAUGAUCUUUACCAAACAGCCAUUUUCACAUCAGUGAGUAUAGAAAUGAUCUAAAAGAAAAACGAAUCAUUUAACUUCACAUUCGUAUUAUUAUGCCCAUAACAACGACAUUGGAGAUGAUCUACGACAAUUAGGAGGACUUAAUAGUGCUUCUAACAACCAUGUCGGAGGAGAUUUAAGUCAAAUCGGUGUAAUUAGCACAUUGAACGACAACGUAAUUGAAGAAGAUGCUUUCCAAGCGGGAGGUUUACAACUCUCAAACAACAACGAUAUCUAUGGAGAUUUCACCACAAUUGGUGUCGGCAAUCUUGGUUUCGGCAACUGGGUCGGAGGAGAUUACUUCUCAGGAGGAGUGGGCAACAUCCAAGGCAACAAUGUAGUUGAGGGAGAUUUUACUGAAUUGGGUGUCGGCAACAUUGCUUACGGCAACGAUAUUGGAGGAAAUGUACUUCAAGCUGGAGUUGGUAACGCA
Bradysia coprophila is the source of this 667-nucleotide long non-coding RNA. The record is from RefSeq and is a predicted model, not a curated record. Lineage: Eukaryota; Metazoa; Arthropoda; Insecta; Diptera; Sciaridae.